GGCAAGACGGAAAGACCCCGUGAACCUUUACUAUAGCUUGACACUGAACAUUGAGCCUUGAUGUGUAGGAUAGGUGGGAGGCUUUGAAGUGUGGACGCCAGUCUGCAUGGAGCCGACCUUGAAAUACCACCCUUUAAUGUUUGAUGUUCUAACGUGGACCCGUGAUCCGGGUUGCGGACAGUGUCUGGUGGGUAGUUUGACUGGGGCGGUCUCCUCCUAAAGAGUAACGGAGGAGCACGAAGGUUGGCUAAUCCUGGUCGGACAUCAGGAGGUUAGUGCAAUGGCAUAAGCCAGCUUGACUGCGAGCGUGACGGCGCGAGCAGGUGCGAAAGCAGGUCAUAGUGAUCCGGUGGUUCUGAAUGGAAGGGCCAUCGCUCAACGGAUAAAAGGUACUCCGGGGAUAACAGGCUGAUACCGCCCAAGAGUUCAUAUCGACGGCGGUGUUUGGCACCUCGAUGUCGGCUCAUCACAUCCUGGGGCUGAAGUAGGUCCCAAGGGUAUGGCUGUUCGCCAUUUAAAGUGGUACGCGAGCUGGGUUUAGAACGUCGUGAGACAGUUCGGUCCCUAUCUGCCGUGGGCGCUGGAGAACUGAGGGGGGCUGCUCCUAGUACGAGAGGACCGGAGUGGACGCAUCACUGGUGUUCGGGUUGUCAUGCCAAUGGCACUGCCCGGUAGCUAAAUGCGGAAGAGAUAAGUGCUGAAAGCAUCUAAGCACGAAACUUGCCCCGAGAUGAGUUCUCCCUGACCCUUUAAGGGUCCUGAAGGAACGUUGAAGACGACGACGUUGAUAGGCCGGGUGUGUAAGCGCAGCGAUGCGUUGAGCUAACCGGUACUAAUGAACCGUGAGGCUUAACCUU
This 857-nucleotide ribosomal RNA is filed under the name Escherichia coli. RNAcentral describes it as "partial 23S ribosomal RNA". It matches the Rfam family "Bacterial large subunit ribosomal RNA", at positions 2074 to 2925 of the family's 2925-position model. Lineage: Bacteria; Pseudomonadati; Pseudomonadota; Gammaproteobacteria; Enterobacterales; Enterobacteriaceae. The record is from RNAcentral.